RNAcentral lists this ribosomal RNA (490 nucleotides) under Bacillus swezeyi. RNAcentral describes it as "bacterial SSU rRNA". Lineage: Bacteria; Bacillati; Bacillota; Bacilli; Caryophanales; Bacillaceae. The record is from RNAcentral.
AGGGAAGAACAAGUACCGUUCGAAUAGGGCGGUACCUUGACGGUACCUAACCAGAAAGCCACGGCUAACUACGUGCCAGCAGCCGCGGUAAUACGUAGGUGGCAAGCGUUGUCCGGAAUUAUUGGGCGUAAAGCGCGCGCAGGCGGUUUCUUAAGUCUGAUGUGAAAGCCCCCGGCUCAACCGGGGAGGGUCAUUGGAAACUGGGGAACUUGAGUGCAGAAGAGGAGAGUGGAAUUCCACGUGUAGCGGUGAAAUGCGUAGAGAUGUGGAGGAACACCAGUGGCGAAGGCGACUCUCUGGUCUGUAACUGACGCUGAGGCGCGAAAGCGUGGGGAGCGAACAGGAUUAGAUACCCUGGUAGUCCACGCCGUAAACGAUGAGUGCUAAGUGUUAGAGGGUUUCCGCCCUUUAGUGCUGCAGCAAACGCAUUAAGCACUCCGCCUGGGGAGUACRGUCGCAAGACUGAAACUCAAAGGAAUUGACGGGGGCC